CAGAGGGUGCGAGCGUUAAUCGGAAUUACUGGGCGUAAAGGGCGCGUAGGCGGUUGUGUAAGUUGGAUGUGAAAGGCCCGGGCUUAACCUGGGAGUUGCAUCUGAUACUGCAUGACUAGAGUAGUGUAGAGGGGAGUGGAAUUUCCAGUGUAGCGGUGAAAUGCGUAGAUAUUGGAAAGAACACCGGUGGCGAAGGCGGCUCCCUGGACACAUACUGACGCUGAGGCGCGAAAGCGUGGGGAGCAAACAGGGUUAGAUACCCUGGUAGUCCACGCUGUAAACGAUGAGGACUAGAUGUUGGUCCGGUAAAACGGAUUAGUAUCGAAGCUAACGCGUUAAGUUCUCCGCCUGGGGAGUACGGCCGCAAGGCUA
RNAcentral lists this ribosomal RNA (372 nucleotides) under uncultured organism. Its description in RNAcentral is "bacterial SSU rRNA". It matches the Rfam family "Bacterial small subunit ribosomal RNA", at positions 526 to 896 of the family's 1533-position model. The record is from RNAcentral.